This 243-nucleotide long non-coding RNA is filed under the name Lathyrus oleraceus (garden pea). RNAcentral describes it as "Pisum sativum (pea) long non-coding RNA (PSAT_LNC022956)". Lineage: Eukaryota; Viridiplantae; Streptophyta; Magnoliopsida; Fabales; Fabaceae. The record is from RNAcentral.
GUUGAGGGAAGUUGAGCUUGGACACGUCAUGGCAGGGUCUAUGGCGCCAGCCAUGGGGUAGGCCACAAGUACAAAAUGCUGAAUUUUAGGGUUUUUAGUUCUUUUUCACUCCUUUUCUCGAUCGGGGCUCCGAUGAAAGUAAAAACCUAAAAACAAAGGAAAACAUAGCAAUAACACAACAAAAUAACAAUAAAACAACUAGAAUGCAUGUGAAAUCGGAGUCGAAAAUACGGUAAAUUUCAG